CCUACGGGAGGCAGCAGUGGGGAAUUUUGGACAAUGGGGGCAACCCUGAUCCAGCCAUUCCGCGUGAGUGAAGAAGGCCUUCGGGUUGUAAAGCUCUUUUGUCGGGGACGAAACGGGAUACGAAUAAUACUCGUGUCAACUGACGGUACCCGAAGAAUAAGCACCGGCUAACUACGUGCCAGCAGCCGCGGUAAUACGUAGGGUGCAAGCGUUAAUCGGAAUUACUGGGCGUAAAGCGUGCGCAGGCGGUUUUAUAAGCCAGAUGUGAAAUCCCCGAGCUCAACUUGGGAACUGCAUUUGGGACUGUAAGGCUAGAGUAUGUCAGAGGGGGGUAGAAUUCCACGUGUAGCAGUGAAAUGCGUAGAGAUGUGGAGGAAUACCGAUGGCGAAGGCAGCCCCCUGGGAUGAUACUGACGCUCAUGCACGAAGGCGUGGGGAGCAAACAGGAUUAGAUACCCUGGUAGUCCACGCCCUAAACGAUGUCAACUGGUUNUUAGGGGAAUUUAUUUCCUUAGUAACGAGCUAAGCGUGAGUUGACCGCUGGGGAUCGGUGCAAGNUUAAACNAANGAUG
This 572-nucleotide ribosomal RNA is filed under the name uncultured bacterium. RNAcentral's name for it is "bacterial SSU rRNA". It matches the Rfam family "Bacterial small subunit ribosomal RNA", at positions 338 to 873 of the family's 1533-position model. The record is from RNAcentral.